This 681-nucleotide long non-coding RNA is filed under the name Nicotiana tabacum (common tobacco). Its description in RNAcentral is "long non-coding RNA (NTAB_LNC014552)". Lineage: Eukaryota; Viridiplantae; Streptophyta; Magnoliopsida; Solanales; Solanaceae. The record is from RNAcentral.
AAAAGGCGUAUGAACAUAUGUUUCAUUGAUAAAAUGAUGUAAUAUACAUCCAAUUUUUACUAUUACAGAUACAUGUACACAACUUACAUAUGGAUACAUACAGCCAGGAACUUUAAAUAUGUUCAUGCCGUAUUUGAAAGAAGACAGCCAUUUGUCAUCACCAAAAGGUUAUAUGUCUGAGAAUUUUACAGUUGCUCCCAAACCAGUUGCAGUGGCAGAGGAUAGACAUUGCAUCUCCUUCUUGCCUGUUUUCCGCUACUACAAGGUUGUUGAAAAUGGUAGCAAGCGUGGAAAUCCGACAAACAAAAUUGUGGAGUCCAAAAAGAGCCCAUCAGUUCGAUAAUAUCUAUACUAGCUAACUUCCAUUCUGUUGUAUGAUAAACUGGACUACGAUUCUUGAAGUAGGAGAUUUAAUUGUAAUGCACCUUUUGCCAACAGACCACUUCUCCUACAACAAUAGAAUGUAAGCAAAACUUGAGUAGCCAACAAAAUCAAGACACAAGGACUCUGGGCUUCUAGCUGCUUUAGAUAUGUAAGAAAAGGAGGUAAAGAUAUCAACUAGAAUUUAAUCGACAACAAGUUGCAUCAAUCUUGAAUAUUUCAAAAGUUCAACACACACCUAUCAAUUAGAAAUCAAGCCUUAGGCCCCUGCCCUCCAAACCAAACAUAUUCAGACACCAU